UUAAAGAAUCUCUUACCAUUGCACUUGAGAAGAUUCCACCAUGUGUAGACCCAGUUGUUAAACUUCUUGAGCACUUGCUUCACAAGAAUGUCUUGACUGAAAAGGAUAUAGGUACCGGGUGCCUUCUAUAUGGGUCGAUGAUGGAUGAUAUCGGCAUUGAUCUACCAAAAGCACCAAGCAAUUUCGGUGAGAUUCUCGGGAAGUUAAUUUUGAUCAGAGGUCUGGAUUUCGCUGUUGUGAAGGAGAUUCUUAAGAAGGUGGAAGAUAACUACUUGCAAAAAUCCAUUUUUGGUGGUGCUAUGAAGAUCCUCAACUCUAGCCCUUCUGGAGAAGGAAUUCUGGCAACUCAAAGCGUUGAGAUCCAGGCAUGUGAGACUUUACUUGCGUGAAUUGAGUCAUGUGGGAUUUGAUUUCCCAUUACGUUUUUGAUCAAAAAAUUUUCAUUUCAUGUUUUACGUUCCGAUCGCCAAAAGACAAAUAACUGAUCAUUUAUAUUGAG
This 499-nucleotide unclassified non-coding RNA is filed under the name Hevea brasiliensis (rubber tree). Lineage: Eukaryota; Viridiplantae; Streptophyta; Magnoliopsida; Malpighiales; Euphorbiaceae. The record is from RNAcentral.